UACGUAGGGCGCAAGCGUUGUUCGGAUUCAUUGGGCGUAAAGGGUGCGUAGGUGGCGGGGUAAGUCAGGUGUGAAAUUUCGGAGCUUAACUCCGAAACUGCAUUUGAUACUGCCUUGCUUGAGGACUGGAGAGGAGACUGGAAUUCACGGUGUAGCAGUGAAAUGCGUAGAUAUCGUGAGGAAGACCAGUGGCGAAGGCGGGUCUCUGGACAGUUCCUGACACUGAGGCACGAAGGCCAGGGGAGCAAACGGG
This 253-nucleotide ribosomal RNA is filed under the name uncultured bacterium. Its description in RNAcentral is "partial 16S ribosomal RNA". It matches the Rfam family "Bacterial small subunit ribosomal RNA", at positions 524 to 776 of the family's 1533-position model. The record is from RNAcentral.